GGGUGCUUAUCUCAGUUGGUAGAGCAGCGCCCUUACACGGCGUAGUUCGGCGGUUCGAGCCCGUCAGCACCCACCA
RNAcentral lists this transfer RNA (76 nucleotides) under Polaromonas sp. RNAcentral's name for it is "tRNA-Val". It matches the Rfam family "tRNA". Rfam says of the family: Transfer RNA (tRNA) molecules are approximately 80 nucleotides in length. Their secondary structure includes four short double-helical elements and three loops (D, anti-codon, and T loops). Lineage: Bacteria; Pseudomonadati; Pseudomonadota; Betaproteobacteria; Burkholderiales; Comamonadaceae. The record is from RNAcentral.